GCCUAAAGCGUCCGUAGCCUGCUCUGUAAGUUUCCGGUUAAAUCCAUUAGCUCAACUAAUGGGCCGCCGGAAAAACUGCAAAGCUAGGGAGUGGGAGAGGUAGACGGUACUCGGUAGGAAGGGGUAAAAUCCUUUGAUCUAUCGAUGACCACCUGUGGCGAAGGCGGUCUACCAGAACACGUUCGACGGUGAGGGAUGAAAGCUGGGGGAGCAAACCGGAUUAGAUACCCGGGUAGUCCCAGCUGUAAACGAUGCAGACUCGGUGAUGCGCUGGCUUGUGGCCAGUGCAGUGCCGCAGGGAAGCCGUUAAGUUUGCCGCCUGGGAAGUACGUACGCAAGUAUGAAACUUAAAGGAAUUGGCGGGGGAGCACCACAAGGGGUGAAGCCUGCGGUUCAAUUGGAGUCAACGCCAGAAAUCUUACCCGAGGAGACAGCAGAAUGAAGGUCAAGCUGGAGACUUUACCAGACAAGCUGAGAAGUGGUGCAUGGCCGUCGCCAGCUCGUGCCGUGAGAUGUCCUGUUAAGUCAGGUAACGAGCGAGAUCCCUGCCUCUAGUUGCCACCAUUACUCUCAGGAGUAGUGGGGCGAAUUAGCGGGACCGCCACAGUUAAUGUGGAGGAAGGAAGGGGCCACGGCAGGUCAGUAUGCCCCGAA
This 654-nucleotide ribosomal RNA is filed under the name uncultured archaeon. Its description in RNAcentral is "bacterial SSU rRNA". It matches the Rfam family "Archaeal small subunit ribosomal RNA", at positions 508 to 1160 of the family's 1478-position model. The record is from RNAcentral.